AAACCAGGGAAACUUGGACUAAUACCCCAUAGCAUUUAUUUAUAGCAUCAUGAAUAAAUUAAAGCUUCGGUGGUAUAGGAUUGGCUCGCGUGACAUUAGCUAGAUGGUGAGGUAACGGCUCACCAUGGCGAUGAUGUCUAGGGGUUCUGAGAGGAAGGCCCCCCACACUGGGACUGAGACACGGCCCAGACUCCUACGGGAGGCAGCAGUGAGGAAUAUUGGACAAUGGAUGGAAAUCUGAUCCAGCCAUGCCGCGUGCAGGAAGACGGCCCUAUGGGUUGUAAACUGCUUUUAUACGGGAGCAAUAAGGUCUACGUGUAGACUGAUGAGAGUACCGUAUGAAUAAGCAUCGGCUAACUCCGUGCCAGCAGCCGCGGUAAUACGGAGGAUGCGAGCGUUAUCCGGAUUUAUUGGGUUUAAAGGGUGCGUAGGCGGCCUUGUAAGUCAGCGGUGAAAUUUUGCGGCUUAACUGUAAAAGUGCCGUUGAUACUGUGAGGCUAGGAUUUGGUUGCUGUGGGUGGAAUGUGUGGUGUAGCGGUGAAAUGCUUAGAGAUCACACAGAAUAUCGAUUGCGAAGGCAGCUCACAAAGCCAAGAUUGACGCUGAGGCACGAAAGUGUGGGGAUCAAACAGGAUUAGAUACCCUGGUAGUCCACACUGUAAACGAUG
This 668-nucleotide ribosomal RNA is filed under the name uncultured Bacteroidota bacterium. RNAcentral's name for it is "bacterial SSU rRNA". It matches the Rfam family "Bacterial small subunit ribosomal RNA", at positions 145 to 811 of the family's 1533-position model. Lineage: Bacteria; Pseudomonadati; Bacteroidota. The record is from RNAcentral.